RNAcentral lists this long non-coding RNA (1355 nucleotides) under Oncorhynchus mykiss (rainbow trout). RNAcentral's name for it is "lncRNA (ENSOMYG00000062957.1)". Lineage: Eukaryota; Metazoa; Chordata; Actinopteri; Salmoniformes; Salmonidae. The record is from RNAcentral.
AUGACAGCGGUUAUCCUCUUAUGCAAAAAUCUGUUACUGGGCAAAAGGCAUAGCAAAAGAGAAACCCCCAACCCAGUCCCUAACACUGACCUAUACGCAAAACCCAGAGACAUAUACAGAGUGUAUAUGGCUCUUUUAACACUUACACCCAGAUGCCUACUAUCAACACUAGUCUAUCUGGAUGCUGAGACACCAUAGUGGAGCUCAUGGGAGGAGAAUUAAUUUAAAAAGGGAAGGAAGGAAAGACAAGCAGAGAUAAGAAGUGUAGAAGAAGAGGCAGGUGGAAGAAUUUGGAUGGGUAGGUAUCAGAAGUGGAACUUUGGCACAGUUGACCACCUCCAACAGAAUGUCUUAUCACUAGCGUGUUUUCUUUGAUUCCGUCUCACCUCACCCGAUUGGUCAGAAAUACACCAUUGACGUCUUAUGUAACCGUAGCAAAUGUCUGUUAACCAAAACAGACUUGAGCCUGGCACUUUGUUAGCCACUUUAGCUUUGGAGCGAAAGUGACUUUAAACAUCUUCAGGCCGCUCCUCCACAGCACUACAAGAGUGACGGGACAGAGAGAGCUAGGCUACGUUCCAAAUGACCCUACUCCCAAUAUAGUGUACUACUUCGACCAGGACGCAUAGGACUCCAGUCAAAAGUAGUUGCACUAUAUAGGACUCAGGGUGCCAUUUUGGACAAACCCCAUGUUUGGAGCAGGACAGGAGGUUCCCAGUACUGCAAUACUGUGAUGGAGAAAACAUGGGUAGUUUGAAUAGAGCAGUUCUACUUGAGACAUACAUUUGAUAAAUCAACAUCACUAGCAUAACACCCAGACAAUUUAAAUAUGAACUGUAUGGGCAAAAUAUAUGUAGAAGAGAAAAAACGCUAAUAGGUACAAAGAAAUUAACUGCUAAUCUUUGCAGUGCUCAAAACUUUACCAAUUUAAAGUAUUCAUGGCCCAAAUUUCAGUCUGUGCCAUUCAAGAACAGGGUUAACUGUUAGCUUUAGCUGCUGUUCUUUCAUUCUGGCCCCUAAAUACCACACAAGCCUAUUAGGACCAUAUCACAGUUCACACAAACACACCAGCCCAAACGACAAGCUCAUGCGCAUGGUCCACUUACCUAACACACGAGACGCACAUGAGCUACAGACACGUCUGAAACAUAAUCCUGUGCCAAACACGCUAUUCGCACGGUAUACACUCCUCCUCCAUAAUAGCAAACUACACACACCAGAGGAAGACAGAAUGACAUCUCAGCUUACCAUUUAGCAGCAACAGUCCUUAGCUCUGGUCCAGGGCGUUACAUGUGGCUUGCUGUUGAAGGCUCAGCAUCAGAAAACUACACAUAACACCCUGGACCAGAGCUACG